This 76-nucleotide transfer RNA is filed under the name Betaproteobacteria bacterium TMED156. RNAcentral describes it as "tRNA-Val". It matches the Rfam family "tRNA". From Rfam's summary of the family: Transfer RNA (tRNA) molecules are approximately 80 nucleotides in length. Their secondary structure includes four short double-helical elements and three loops (D, anti-codon, and T loops). The record is from RNAcentral. Lineage: Bacteria; Pseudomonadati; Pseudomonadota; Betaproteobacteria.
GGGUGAUUAGCUCAGUUGGUAGAGCACCUCGUUUACACCGAGGGGGUCAUAGGUUCGAGUCCUGUAUUACCCACCA